AUACGGAGGAUCCGAGCGUUAUCCGGAUUUAUUGGGUUUAAAGGGUGCGCAGGCGGCCAUUUAAGUCAGCGGUUAAAUCGUGGGGCUCAACCCCAUUCUGCCGUUGAUACUGGGUGGCUUGAUUGCGGUCGAGGUUGGCGGAAUUCGUUGUGUAGCGGUGAAAUGCAUAGAUGUGACGAAGAACACCGAUUGCGUAGGCAGCUGACCAGACCGCAAAUGACGCUCAUGCACGAAAGUGCGGGGAUCGAACAGGAUUAGAUACCCUGGUAGUCCGCACAGUAAACGAUGAAUACUUGUUUUCGGCGAUAUAAUGUCGGAGGCAAAGCGAAAGCGAUAAGUAUUCCACCUGGGGAGUACGCCGGCAACGGUGAAACUCAAAGGAAUUGACGGGG
Molecule: ribosomal RNA, 392 nt
Filed under: uncultured bacterium
Lineage: Bacteria
Description: partial 16S ribosomal RNA
Rfam family: Bacterial small subunit ribosomal RNA
Source: RNAcentral